GCCAGUGCGGAAUACGCCACCCCGUGGCCUGUGAUCCAUCAUCCAUGAUCCUACCCCUGUCUAAACUAGACUAGAGUCAGUCCAAAACAUAAAGACUCUGACCAUCCCCAGCCCAAGGCAAUGAGUGCUAAGAAGAUUGGUGUCAUGGCAGUUAAACAGUUGUAUUUGGAAAAUAUAAAUUCUUGCUGUCUUGACGCAAUAUUCUUGGAUGCUGUCCAUACUCAAGAUCCAUGAAGAUUUUAUUCCAAAUCAAAUUUGUCAUAGACCAGAUAUCCGCAACCUCCGGCCCACGGAACCACUUCCAACUUAACAACUGGACACUGAUUAUUAUCUAACAGCUGUUACUAGUUUAAGGUGUCAAACCAUCCAUAUAGUACACAUUUGACAUCAUGGCCUCCCCCUCAGAGAAACUGCAUAGCUGUCCAAAAGGUUCCCAACCCCUGACCUAGUGUUAAAAUUGGAAUUUUUAUGAGGAUGUAAUAAUUUCUUAAGUACUAGUUUGUUUUUGUUCAUAACAAGGGAAAACAUUGCUUCAUUUUUAUUUUUUAAAUAUUUUAUUAAUGGCCUUUUUCUGCUGGUGGCUAUUUGUGAGUCAACAUGCAGUUGUAGUUAUUGGUGUUGGCAGGUUGAAGUUAAGAAAUUGGUAGUCAAGAAACUUUGAGUGUCUUCAUUUGGUUUUCACUCUCCACAUUUGGUUUCAUACUAAUAUCUUCUAACUUAAUUCACCAGUCUUCUUUGGUGAAGGCCAAUGACAAAUACAAAAAAAGCAGAAACAUAAUGAAACGACUCCACACAAUGAUCCGGUAUUUACAACAUAUUUACAUAUUUACAACAUAUACCUGGAGGUAUCAAAGACUGAUUAGGCGUUAAGUUGCAUUGCCUAGUAUAUUUGUCAACUACUGUUGUCAUGUGUGGGGAUAGUAUUAAUUAAUCAUAAUAAUAGUAUACUAGUAGUUUCAUUGUUAAAUUGAAACCUUGUAAAGUUAAUUGAACAAAGGAGAUUACAAGUUUUACAACUUUUUUACAACUUCUCUUGUGUAUUACAGAUUCAUGGAUUCUUUCCAUACUCAAGAUCCAUGAAGACGUUAUUCCAAAUCAAAUUUGUCGGACCAGAUAUCUGCAAUCUCUGGCCCAUGGAACCACUUCCAGCUUGCCAUCAUAACACCUGGACAUUGA
This is a long non-coding RNA of Macrobrachium nipponense, 1176 nucleotides long. RefSeq lists it as uncharacterized. The record is from RefSeq and is a predicted model, not a curated record. Lineage: Eukaryota; Metazoa; Arthropoda; Malacostraca; Decapoda; Palaemonidae. The transcript is spliced from 2 exons.